Molecule: ribosomal RNA, 497 nt
Filed under: uncultured bacterium
Lineage: Bacteria
Description: partial 16S ribosomal RNA
Rfam family: Bacterial small subunit ribosomal RNA
Source: RNAcentral
GAUGAACGCUGGCGGCGUGCCUAAUACAUGCAAGUCGAGCGAACAGACGAGGAGCUUGCUCCUCUGACGUUAGCGGCGGACGGGUGAGUAACACGUGGAUAACCUACCUAUAAGACUGGGAUAACUUCGGGAAACCGGAGCUAAUACCGGAUAAUAUAUUGAACCGCAUGGUUCAAUAGUGAAAGACGGUUUUGCUGUCACUUAUAGAUGGAUCCGCGCCGCAUUAGCUAGUUGGUAAGGUAACGGCUUACCAAGGCAACGAUGCGUAGCCGACCUGAGAGGGUGAUCGCCCACACUGGAACUGAGCCACGGUCCAGACUCCUACGGGAGGCAGCAGUAGGGAAUCUUCCGCAAUGGGCGAAAGCCUGACGGAGCAACGCCGCGUGAGUGAUGAAGGUCUUCGGAUCGUAAAACUCUGUUAUUAGGGAAGAACAAAUGUGUAAGUAACUAUGCACGUCUUGACGGUACCUAAUCAGAAAGCCACGGCUAACUACGUG